UGGCAGGUCAGCAUACUGCCGUGAAUACGUUCCCGGGGCCCUUGUACACACCGCCCGUCACACCAUGAGAGUUGGGAAUACCCGAAGCCUGUGAGCUAACUUUACGAGGCAGCAGUCGAAGGUAGAAUCAAUGAUUGGGGUGAAGUCGUAACAAGGUAGC
Molecule: ribosomal RNA, 160 nt
Filed under: uncultured bacterium
Lineage: Bacteria
Description: partial 16S ribosomal RNA
Rfam family: Bacterial small subunit ribosomal RNA
Source: RNAcentral